AUCUCCUUCAAAGCAAACCCGUUU
RNAcentral lists this non-coding RNA (24 nucleotides) under Arabidopsis thaliana (thale cress). The record is from RNAcentral. Lineage: Eukaryota; Viridiplantae; Streptophyta; Magnoliopsida; Brassicales; Brassicaceae.